CUCAGAACCAAAUAAACACAAAACAAAGAGACCAGGAGGGAGGUGGACUGGUGGAGGCAGAACAGGGGGAGGGAUGGCGGGCCAGGCCCGUGUAGGGGAACUGGGACCGGCAGCGAUGGCUCCCCUGGUAGCCCAGGUGGCUUGGUCAGAUCAGGGGGCCAUGGUGGACCCGAAAGUUCAGGGGACCACGAGGGACCAGGCAGUUCAGGGGGCCACGGUGGACCCGAAAGUUCAGGGGACCACGAGGGACCAGGCAGUUCAGGUGGCCACGGUGGACCCGAAAGUUCAGGGGACCACGAGGGACCAGGCAGUUCAGGUGGCCACGGUGGAUCAGUCCAUUCUCGUUGUGCAGACGGCCAGGGAGGAAUUCGCCAUUUGAGUGGCCCGAACGGAACCUGCCAAUCGGGGAGCCAGUAAGGAGCAGGCUGUGGCGAUGGCCCGGUCACGGCAUUGGGAACGGCAUCAGGAACGACCUCAGACAAGGACACCGCCUCGGGAACGGCCUUGGACACGGGUAUCGCCUCCGGAGCCAUCUUGGGCCCCGCAUCGGCCUCCGGAACAGCAUCGGCCACCGCCUCUGGAAUGGCCUCAGGAACGGCCUCAGGAACGGCAUCGGACCAGGACACCGCCUCGGGAACGGUCUCAGGAACGGCCUCAGGAACGGCCUCAGGAACGGCCUCAGGAACGGCCUCAGGAACGGCAUUGGACAAGGCCCCCGCCUCGGGAACGGCCUCGGGCACGGCCUCGGGAACGGCCUUGGACAAGGGCACCGCCUCGGGAACGACCUCUGCAUCGGGCACCACCUCAGGAACGACCUCGGCCUGCGCAUCGGCCACCGCCUCGGGAACGAUCUCGGCCUGCGCAUCGGGCACCGCCUCGGUCUCUGGAAGCAACUCGGGCACCACCUCGGUCUCUGGAACAACAUCGGGCACCGCCUCGACCUGCGGAACGGCCUCGGGCACCGCCUCGACCUGCGGAACAGCAUCGGGCACCGCCUCGGCAUCGGGAACAACAUCGGGCACCGCCUCGACCUCCGGAACAGCCUCGGUCUCGG
Molecule: long non-coding RNA, 1054 nt
Organism: Cyprinus carpio carpio
Lineage: Eukaryota; Metazoa; Chordata; Actinopteri; Cypriniformes; Cyprinidae
Source: Ensembl